This is a non-coding RNA of Homo sapiens (human), 169 nucleotides long. NCBI's taxonomy places the organism in Eukaryota, Metazoa, Chordata, Mammalia, Primates, Hominidae. The record is from the annotation of a RefSeq genome assembly.
GUGCCCUGUCUUUGGAGCAGCUACAGGAGUCAGGCCCAGACUAGAAGAGCCCACACUGACCUUCUGCAUCACUUAUGCUCUCUCUGGCCACUACAUCACAAACAGUGCUUAUGACUGGGCCUGAAUCUGCCAGCCCAGGAAAGGGCUGGAAUGGAUGGGGUGCAUUGGU